GAGUUUGACCUGGCUCAGAUUGAACGCUGGCGGCAGGCCUAACACAUGCAGGUCGAGCGGUAGAGAGAAGCUUGCUUCUCUUGAGAGCGGGCGGACGGGUGAGUAAUGCCUAGGAAUCUGCCUGGUAGUGGGGGGAUAACGCUCGGAAACGGACGCUAAUACCGCAUACGUCCUACGGGAGAAAGCAGGGGACCUUCGGGCCUUGCGCUAUCAGAUGAGCCUAGGUCGGAUUAGCUAGUUGGUGAGGUAAUGGCUCACCAAGGCGACGAUCCGUAACUGGUCUGAGAGGAUGAUCAGUCACACUGGAACUGAGACACGGUCCAGACUCCUACGGGAGGCAGCAGUGGGGAAUAUUGGACAAUGGGCGAAAGCCUGAUCCAGCCAUGCCGCGUGUGUGAAGAAGGUCUUCGGAUUGUAAAGCACUUUAAGUUGGGAGGAAGGGCAGUAAAUUAAUACUUUGCUGUUUUGACGUUACCGUACAGAAUAAGCACCGGCUAACUCUGUGCCAGCCG
Molecule: ribosomal RNA, 512 nt
Filed under: uncultured bacterium
Lineage: Bacteria
Description: bacterial SSU rRNA
Rfam family: Bacterial small subunit ribosomal RNA
Source: RNAcentral